Molecule: ribosomal RNA, 234 nt
Filed under: uncultured Candidatus Saccharibacteria bacterium
Lineage: Bacteria; Candidatus Saccharimonadota
Description: partial 16S ribosomal RNA
Rfam family: Bacterial small subunit ribosomal RNA
Source: RNAcentral
UAAGUUGAUAGUGAAAGCGUGCGGCUCAACCGCAUACACAUUAUCAAACUGCUCAGCUAGAGGAUGAGAGAGGUUAUUGGAAUUCCCAGUGUAGGAGUGAAAUCCGUAGAUAUUGGGAGGAACACCGAUGGCGUAGGCAGAUAACUGGCUCAUUCCUGACACUAAGGCACGAAAGCGUGGGUAGCAAACGGGAUUAGAUACCCCGGUAGUCCACGCUGUAAACGAUGGAUGCUA